GAUGAACGCUGGCGGCGUGCCUAAUACAUGCAAGUCGAGCGAAAAGACGCGGAGCUUGCUCCUCUGACGUUGACGGCGGGCGGGUGAGUAAAACGAGGAUACCUUAUCUAUAGGACUAGGAUCGGUUAGGGAAACCGGAGCUAGUACCGGACAUGAUAUUGAACCUCAUGGUUCAAUAGAUAUUGACGGUUUUGCUGUGGCUUAUAGAUGUAUCCGCGCUGGAUUAGCUAGUUGGUAAGGUAACGCCUUACCGAGGCGACGAUGCGUAGCCGGGCUGAGAGGGUGAUCCGGCACACUGGAACUGAGACACGGUCCAGACUCCUACGGGAGGCAGCAGUAGGGAAUGUUGCACAAUGGGCGAAAGCCUGACGGAGCAACGCCGCGUGAGUGAUGAAGGUCUUCGGAUCGUAAAACGCUUUUAGUUGGGAAGAAGAAUUGUAUAAUUAACUAUGCCUGUCUUGACGGUACCAAAAGAAAAAGCAACGGCUAACUACGUG
RNAcentral lists this ribosomal RNA (497 nucleotides) under uncultured bacterium. Its description in RNAcentral is "partial 16S ribosomal RNA". It matches the Rfam family "Bacterial small subunit ribosomal RNA", at positions 28 to 507 of the family's 1533-position model. The record is from RNAcentral.